RNAcentral lists this unclassified non-coding RNA (355 nucleotides) under soil metagenome. Its description in RNAcentral is "partial contains 5.8S ribosomal RNA, internal transcribed spacer 2, and large subunit ribosomal RNA". The stretch from base 1 to 120 matches the Rfam family "5.8S ribosomal RNA", at positions 35 to 154 of the family's 154-position model. The record is from RNAcentral.
GAUGAAGAACGUAGCGAAAUGCGAUAAGUAAUGCGAAUUGCAGAAUUCAGUGAAUCAUCGAAUCUUUGAACGCACAUUGCGCCCGCUAGUAUUCUGGCGGGCAUGCCUGUCUGAGCGUCAUUUCAACCCUCGCCCCCGGCUUUUGCUGGGAGCGGUGUUGGGGAUCGGCCGCCCGUCACUGGGAGGCCGGCCCCGAAAUAGAGUGGCGACCACGCCGUGUGCUCCUCUGCGUAGUAGUAAAUCACCUCGCAGGCGGACAGCGGUUCGGCCUGCCGUAAAACCCCCAACUCUUUCUGGUUGACCUCAGAUCAGGUAGGAAUACCCGCUGAACUUAAGCAUAUCAAUAAGCGGAGGA